Molecule: long non-coding RNA, 650 nt
Organism: Gorilla gorilla gorilla (western lowland gorilla)
Lineage: Eukaryota; Metazoa; Chordata; Mammalia; Primates; Hominidae
Exons: 2
Source: RefSeq, a predicted model, not a curated record
UCUUGAGAGAUCUGAUUGACUAUCUUUUCCCUAUCUACUCCAUCCCUGUUCUUAAGCGCUUCCCUCCUCCUCCCACGACUGUCUCUCUCAUGAGAGAAGACAAAUAGCCCCCUGUCUCCUUGGACAGGACACCCUGAUCCAGUGCAUCUGAUUGGCUUCCUGCCAACUCAAACAAACAGCCUCCGGCAGAGGGAGAAGUAGAUAUAAAUGGCUCCACAGCCUGGCCACUGCGUCCAUUCUCAGGCUCAUUUCUCCACAAAUUUACUGCUCCUUUCUCCACAAAUCACUUCUGAACUGUGGCUUGGAAGUCUCUGGGCCUCAGUCUGCAGAGACACAGAAGCAAAUGAUUGUAUGAAGCUCCUGACUGUAUGAAGUUCUCAGUCAAACAAAAUAGUACCUCUUCUGCCCAUCUCAGAGGUGGAUAAGGAUAAAGUGAAAUAAUGGAAAGCACAAGGAACAGUAAAAGGCAAAUGUCAAGAAGCUGUUUGCAAAGUUACCAAGAUGUAAAAUUAGAUUUUACUUAUUAAUAAUCAUGUCACUUGUCAUUCUGUUUAUAACGGUCAAUUCACUGCUGAUAUUCAAGUGGACCGUUUAAACUGUAUUUUUGCUCAACUAUCCCUCCAAAUAAAUAUCUCAAAAUCUUGACUGUU